CAGAGUGUAGCUAAAUAGGAAAGCAUCUCCCUUACACCGAGAAGACACCCGUGCAAAUCCGGUCCCUCUGA
This 71-nucleotide transfer RNA is filed under the name Tigrigobius dilepis. RNAcentral describes it as "tRNA-Val". It matches the Rfam family "tRNA". Rfam says of the family: Transfer RNA (tRNA) molecules are approximately 80 nucleotides in length. Their secondary structure includes four short double-helical elements and three loops (D, anti-codon, and T loops). Further hydrogen bonds mediate the characteristic L-shaped molecular structure. tRNAs have two regions of fundamental functional importance: the anti-codon, which is responsible for specific mRNA codon recognition, and the 3' end, to which the tRNAs corresponding amino acid is attached (by aminoacyl-tRNA synthetases). tRNAs cope with the degeneracy of the genetic code in two manners: having more than one tRNA (with a specific anti-codon) for a particular amino acid; and 'wobble' base-pairing, i.e. permitting non-standard base-pairing at the 3rd anti-codon position. Lineage: Eukaryota; Metazoa; Chordata; Actinopteri; Gobiiformes; Gobiidae. The record is from RNAcentral.